UCAACAGUUCAGUCAGCAGAGCAUGAGCCUCUUAAUCUCAUGGUCGUGGGUUUGAGCCCCGCACUGGCAAAG
This is a non-coding RNA of Podarcis lilfordi (Lilford's wall lizard), 72 nucleotides long. The record is from the annotation of a GenBank genome assembly. NCBI's taxonomy places the organism in Eukaryota, Metazoa, Chordata, Lepidosauria, Squamata, Lacertidae.